AUGGUGAAGCAUCCUGCCGCUAAGAUUGCUGAAGUGCCAGCAGUUUGUCCCUCCAUGCUCCACACUGACCACAGUUGUCCUGCUACUGCUCCUGGCCAAGUUAACACAGAAGACAACAGUGUUCUGGCUAAGCUGCUGGAAGCUUCGAGGAGCAACUACUACAGAUACUAUGGCAACUGCAGACACCUGUGAGACAGUGCCUUGGGUUCAAAGUCUGGCUGCCAUUGCUGAGCUGGAAAAGGCAGAGGCCACCAAGCUGGGAUAGCUGUGUACUGGAUCAGUUUGACCAAGUAUUCUCUCCUAAGGGUUGGGCAUGAUGGAAAAACGAAGGAGAGUAUGGUUGGGGGAAACUCACAGGUAGGUGGUACAGCUUUGGAGACCAUGGCCAAGAGAGUUGGUCAUAAAGCUGCCUAAGCAAUAAAUGGGUGAGUGG
This 433-nucleotide small RNA is filed under the name Rattus norvegicus (Norway rat). RNAcentral's name for it is "uncharacterized LOC108351250". The record is from RNAcentral. Lineage: Eukaryota; Metazoa; Chordata; Mammalia; Rodentia; Muridae.